CCUACGGGUGGCAGCAGUGAGGAAUAUUGGUCAAUGGACGAGAGUCUGAACCAGCCAAGUAGCGUGAAGGAUGACUGUCCUAUGGGUUGUAAACUUCUUUUAUCUGGGAAUAAAAUGUUCCACGUGUGGGAGUUUGUAUGUACCAUAUGAAUAAGCAUCGGCUAACUCCGUGCCAGCAGCCGCGGUAAUACGGAGGAUCCGAGCGUUAUCCGGAUUUAUUGGGUUUAAAGGGUGCGUAGGUGGUUUGUUAAGUCAGUUGUGAAAGUCCGGGGCUCAACCGUGACAUUGCAGUUGAAACUGGCAGUCUUGAGUAGAGUAGAGGUGGGCGGAAUGCGUGGUGUAGCGGUGAAAUGCUUAGAUAUCACGCAGAACUCCGAUUGCGAAGGCAGCUCACUGGACUGCAACUGACGCUGAGGCACGAAAGUGUGGGUAUCAAACAGGAUUAGAUACCCGGGUAGUC
This 460-nucleotide ribosomal RNA is filed under the name uncultured bacterium. RNAcentral describes it as "partial 16S ribosomal RNA". It matches the Rfam family "Bacterial small subunit ribosomal RNA", at positions 338 to 795 of the family's 1533-position model. The record is from RNAcentral.